AAUUAAUGUAACAAAAUUGUUCGCCAGAGAACUACUAGCAACAGCUUAAAACUCAAAGGACUUGGCGGUGCUUUAUAUCCCUCUAGAGGAGCCUGUUCUAUAAUCGAUAAACCCCGAUAGACCUCACCGUUUCUAGCUAAUCCAGUCUAUAUACCGCCAUCUUCAGCAAACCCUUAAAAGGCACACAAGUAAGCACAAUCAUACGACAUAAAAAAGUUAGGUCAAGGUGUAGCCUAUGAAACGGGAAGAAAUGGGCUACAUUUUCUUUAACAAGAACAUUCUACGAAAGACUUUAUGAAAUUAAAGGCCGAAGGAGGAUUUAGUAGUAAAUUAAGAAUAGAGAGCUUAAUUGAAUAGGGCCAUGAAGCACGCACACACCGCCCGUCACCCUCCUCAAGUAACUCUAUUUAGACACAACAUAUUACUCUGCCCUAAUACAAGAGGAGACAAGUCGUCAACAAGGUAAGCGUACUGGAAGGUGCGCUUGGAUUAAC
This 494-nucleotide ribosomal RNA is filed under the name Mephitis mephitis (striped skunk). RNAcentral's name for it is "partial 12S ribosomal RNA". It matches the Rfam family "Bacterial small subunit ribosomal RNA", at positions 848 to 1527 of the family's 1533-position model. The record is from RNAcentral. Lineage: Eukaryota; Metazoa; Chordata; Mammalia; Carnivora; Mephitidae.